GACGAACGCUGGCGGCGUGCUUAACACAUGCAAGUCGAACGGAAAGGCCCUGCUUUUGUGGGGUGCUCGAGUGGCGAACGGGUGAGUAACACGUGAGUAACCUGCCCUUGACUUUGGGAUAACUUCAGGAAACUGGGGCUAAUACCGGAUAGGAGCUCCUGCUGCAUGGUGGGGGUUGGAAAGUUUCGGCGGUUGGGGAUGGACUCGCGGCUUAUCAGCUUGUUGGUGGGGUAGUGGCUUACCAAGGCUUUGACGGGUAGCCGGCCUGAGAGGGUGACCGGCCACAUUGGGACGGAGAUACGGCCCAGACUCCUACGGGAGGCAGCAGUGGGGAAUAUUGCACAAUGGGCGGAAGCCUGAUGCAGCAACGCCGCGUGCGGGAUGACGGCCUUCGGGUUGUAAACCGCUUUCGCCUGUGACGAAGCGUGAGUGACGGUAAUGGGUAAAGAAGCACCGGCUAGCUACGUG
RNAcentral lists this ribosomal RNA (468 nucleotides) under uncultured bacterium. RNAcentral's name for it is "partial 16S ribosomal RNA". It matches the Rfam family "Bacterial small subunit ribosomal RNA", at positions 28 to 507 of the family's 1533-position model. The record is from RNAcentral.